CUGAGCUCGACGGUAGGGAAGCCCUCCAUGAUGCGGUAGUCGGCCAGAUGACGGCAGCCCCAGCCAGGGCAGCCUGUGGAUCCCCACUGAGCGCAGAAACGAACACUGACCAUGGUCUACACCGGGACCGAGACGCACUGCAGCCAGGCAAAGCCCCCAGCCACAUGAAGCUCUGGUCCAUGGCUGGCCCAGGCAGUGGGAGCCUCUUCUCCAGUCCCUUGGACACAUCAGCAAGUGCCAUCACAACACGUGCUUCCGGAAGGGAGAGGCAGAGAGAAGGAAAUCAGGAGUCUCUGUACCGGCCUGGAGAUGACCCACAUCCCUUCUGCUCCCAACUCAGCCGAAAUUCAUCUCGUGACUCCACCCAUCCACAAGAGGGCCAGAGGCUGAGUCUUCCAAGUCCAGGAGGAGAGCUGGAUUUCAGUGACAACACUAAUUACCCAGACUCUGAGGCUUUACAAAAUACUUACUAUUCCACUUCUUAGUCCCCUGAAUCCAGACGUUCCUUCACCUCCUGAUGACGCUCUCUGGGAGGUGAAGGCAGGAAUAUAUGGCUUGACUGAAUGGUGGGUUGAGCCGGAACUCUUCUGUCCCCAGA
Molecule: long non-coding RNA, 598 nt
Organism: Cebus imitator (Panamanian white-faced capuchin)
Lineage: Eukaryota; Metazoa; Chordata; Mammalia; Primates; Cebidae
Exons: 3
Source: RefSeq, a predicted model, not a curated record